Molecule: long non-coding RNA, 206 nt
Filed under: Mytilus galloprovincialis (Mediterranean mussel)
Lineage: Eukaryota; Metazoa; Mollusca; Bivalvia; Mytilida; Mytilidae
Source: RNAcentral
GCCGCCAUUUUUUUCCAACCAAUAACGAAGGGAAAUAAUCCAAUCAUUAAAAUUACAGGUAAACUCGGCCCAUGAUCAACUUGGACCACGACAAGACCAAACUGCACACUCAAAAUCAUUUCACAAAAAAUAAAAUAAAAAAAUAAAAUAAAAUUGAAAUACUGACCUUCCUACCCUAUUUUUUUAAAGCAUGUAACCUUAAGGCC